UACGUAGGGUGCGAGCGUUGUCCGGAAUUAUUGGGCGUAAAGAGCUUGUAGGCGGUUUGUCGCGUCUGCCGUGAAAGCCCAGGGCUUAACCCUGGGUCUGCGGUGGGUACGGGCAGACUAGAGUGUGGUAGGGGAGACUGGAAUUCCUGGUGUAGCGGUGAAAUGCGCAGAUAUCAGGAGGAACACCGAUGGCGAAGGCAGCCUUCUGGGCCAACACUGACGCUCAUGCACGAAAGCGUGGGGAGCAAACAGG
Molecule: ribosomal RNA, 253 nt
Filed under: uncultured bacterium
Lineage: Bacteria
Description: partial 16S ribosomal RNA
Rfam family: Bacterial small subunit ribosomal RNA
Source: RNAcentral